This 209-nucleotide ribosomal RNA is filed under the name uncultured bacterium. RNAcentral describes it as "partial 16S ribosomal RNA". It matches the Rfam family "Bacterial small subunit ribosomal RNA", at positions 568 to 774 of the family's 1533-position model. The record is from RNAcentral.
CUCGUAGGCGGUUCGUCGCGUCCGGUGUGAAAGUCCAUCGCUUAACGGUGGAUCCGCGCCGGGUACGGGCGGGCUUGAGUGCGGUAGGGGAGACUGGGAAAUUCCCGGUGUAACGGUGGAAUGUGUAGAUAUCGGGAAGAACACCAAUGGCGAAGGCAGGUCUCUGGGCCGUCACUGACGCUGAGGAGCGAAAGCGUGGGGAGCGAACA